This 77-nucleotide transfer RNA is filed under the name Alsobacter metallidurans. RNAcentral's name for it is "tRNA-His". The record is from RNAcentral. Lineage: Bacteria; Pseudomonadati; Pseudomonadota; Alphaproteobacteria; Hyphomicrobiales; Alsobacteraceae.
GGUCAUGGCUGGAGCUGUAGGCGGGCUCGCGACCUGUGGGGUCGCGGCCGCCAUGGAUCGCUCCUGCGCGGUGACCG